GGCCCCGCACAAGCGGUGGAGCAUGUGGUUUAAUUCGAUGCAACGCGAAGAACCUUACCAGGGUUUGACAUCCUGCGAAUCUCUUGGAAACUUGAGAGUGCCUUCGGGAACGCAGUGACAGGUGGUGCAUGGCUGUCGUCAGCUCGUGUCGUGAGAUGUUGGGUUAAGUCCCGCAACGAGCGCAACCCACGUCUUUAGUUGCCAGCAUUUAGUUGGGGCACUCUAGAGAGACUGCCGGUGAUAAACCGGAGGAAGGUGUGGAUGACGUCAAGUCAUCAUGCCCCUUACAUCCUGGGCUACACACGUGCUACAAUGGCCAGUACAGAGGGCUGCAAUCCCGUGAGGGGAGC
Molecule: ribosomal RNA, 350 nt
Filed under: uncultured bacterium
Lineage: Bacteria
Description: bacterial SSU rRNA
Rfam family: Bacterial small subunit ribosomal RNA
Source: RNAcentral